Molecule: long non-coding RNA, 2358 nt
Organism: Haplochromis burtoni (Burton's mouthbrooder)
Lineage: Eukaryota; Metazoa; Chordata; Actinopteri; Cichliformes; Cichlidae
Exons: 2
Source: RefSeq, a predicted model, not a curated record
UUCUGUUAUUAUAUGUUACCUUAUAUAUGUAAUCAAAAUAGUUGAAUUAUGUUAACUGCUGUAGAUCAUAUUAUACCCUUUAACAUAGAGUGUGUGAUCAGUAUGUAGUUUUAGUUUGCAUUAUACUUCUGACUUAAAAGAGUGUGAAAAUCAUUAGAUCUAUUGGUUUGACCUGUAUUACUCGACACUGUUGAAUGUGUUAUACUGUUUCUUGACAUGUCAUACUGCUGAAUCAUGAAGAGAAUGUUGUGUGCAGAGGACCUUGUGCAGAUAAUAGAAGAAACAGACCACAUUCCUUUAAAAGCAGAGAGACAACUGCCGAGGUCAUAACUUAGGCGCUGUAACAGAGAAAGAAUGUGAUGUUUUGGCUUUUACGACUAGAUGGGGGCCACUAGAGACUAUAAAAAGCUGAGCAACCCGUCACCAUUUUGAGACAUGCUGUCGAACCUCUGCAAGCAUCUCUCCCGUCAGGACGUUGUAAUGCUCUGUGUUGAAUUGUAUGGAAAUAAAUGAUUGUUGAUUGAGCAUUUAUACACCGAGUAUUGUCCUUCCUUCAGCCCAAAGAUUCAAAGAAUUGGGAGAUUUCAACAACUUGGUGCCGUGUGACCCGGAUCUUUGGUGUGCUGAGGAGGUGCAGAUUUGGCCUUUUUGGUGAGAUCGUGAGGCGAGGUGAACAGAGGACCGGUCCAAAUAUAAAAAGGCUGCUUUGCCGGCCCUGAAAGCCGAGGCUGACUGGACUCCUGCUCUCCCCCAUACGUGACACUGACCAAAUGCUGCAACAGCUGGACCCACAACAACAACCUGAAAAAGUCAACAGUGCUGCAGGAAUGCGAUCUCAUGCAGCAGAGACGGAGAGCACUAAACCUAAGGCCCGUUUCACUACACGGGGGAAAAUUCCCAGACAGCUUCAGCUGACAGAGCUGUGACGAGACGCCCGCCAAGCCCGAAUGAAAAGUAAGGCCGAGCGAAAGAAUGCUGACCUUGAUAACUUUGCAUUCACACUGUGCAGGACAGUGAUGGACCAACACGGAUGAUCGGGCGGCAAAAAGGGCGUGACCGAGACAGGAGGAGUAACUGAGGUCAGAAGGCACCUCAGAAUGGACAAAAACACAGAAGAAGAUGCAGGUUUCACCUGCGGUGAACAUCGACACUGGAGAAAGGACUGCCCCAAUUGGGGUCAGAACCAGGACGGACAGAACUUUGGGCAACAGCAGCAGCAAUGGUCGCAAACAAACUGAAAAGGAGGGGGGCAGGACCCCAGGGCAUGCUUCAGGCCGUGGUUUACCCAGAACACCAGAACAGGAAAGUGAUGAACACACACACACACACACACACACACACACACACACACACACACACACACACACACACACACACGUCUACAAACACACAGAUUCAGAAUGAAGUGAAAUACACACAUGAACACGUGCACUCGUUGAGUGAGUGAGAAAUGACACACACACACACACACACACACACACACACACACACACGCUGAUGCAAUGAAGAAUGCUUUGCUUAUGCUGAUAUGCAAAAUGCUGCACACAAACAUCCCAAUGCAUAAUUUUUAUGAGGAGCCAUUGAUUACCAUUGAUUACUUAGAAUGUGUUAUAUGUCACCCAGAGGGCAUUUAUGUAGAUUUUAGGAAUAAGGUCUAAAACGGUUUGGUUAUGAAAACAAUGUCUGUGCGUGAUGUCUGUUUAUGGCUCAAGGCCUUGACUGAAUUCUUUGCUGUGCUUCACACAGCCCUGAUGAGGAACAGUGGCACAGAGUGAAAAUGAUGAAUUAAUAGUGUAAGUUUAGGUUGGAGUACGGCAUUUUCUGUGAUUGAGUUUUAAUUCAAGGAGGAACAAAAGGUGUUACGGCACCUGAGGUUCUCAUUCCCACACAAUAUUGUCCCGGCAGGAAGCAAAACGUUCCUGUGAAUUUCUGGUUGAUUUUGGUUUUGCUUAGCGCUAGCUUGAUUUUAUCAGUGAGCUUUGGCUUGUGUUCUUUCUCGUAAGCGAGAGAGGGAUAGUUUUAUGCUUGGACAUGUCUGCAACGGGCCCUAGUUUGUGUUAUUUUAGUAGUAUUUUGUUGGUUAUGUCUGUUUUCGUUUUUGUUACAGUGCACUGAGAUAAAAACAUCUGAGAGGUGUGAUCCACCGGUGGUGAUAUGUUGAUAUUUUGGGAGUUCAUGAUUUAACAAUCAGCUCUUUAAACCAGGCCUGAAAGAUUGAGAUUUAAAGCGCUAUAAAAUAUUAUUACUGUAAACAGUUGCAAAGUGUGCUUCUCCAUGAUUGUAAUUGGCUUGGGAGAAAUUCACUUAUAGGGAACACUGAGAAGUUCUGAGUCUAAAAGGAUUGCACCGAGUCAAUCC